Molecule: ribosomal RNA, 408 nt
Filed under: uncultured bacterium
Lineage: Bacteria
Description: partial 16S ribosomal RNA
Rfam family: Bacterial small subunit ribosomal RNA
Source: RNAcentral
GACGAACGCUGGCGGCGUGCUUAACACAUGCAAGUCGAACGAAGUGGCGAACGGGUGAGUAACGCGUAAUCAACCUGCCCUUCAGAGGGGGACAACAGUUGGAAUCGACUGCUAAUACCGCAUACUGAAGGAGGGGAUGGUGUCUGAUUAGCUAGUUGGAGGGGUAACGGCCCACCCAGGCGAUGAUCAGUAGCCUGUCUGAGAAGAUGAACGGCCACAUUGGUACUGAGACACGGCCCAGUAGCCUACGGGAGGCAGCAGUGGGGAAUCUUCGGCAAUGGAGGUAAGUCUGACGGAGCAAGGCCGGGUGAGUGAGGACGGCCUUCGGGUUGUAAAGCUCUGUUAAUCGGGACGCGGUACCGGAAUAGAAAGCCACGGCUAACUACGUGCCAGCAGCCGCGGUAAUAC